GGGCCAUUAGCUCAGCCUGGUUAACGAGGUUUUUCGAGCUUGGUCAAAAAGCGCAGGUCUUAUAAGCCUGAGAGCCGGGGUUCAAAUCCCCGAUGGCCCA
This 100-nucleotide transfer RNA is filed under the name Promethearchaeota archaeon. Its description in RNAcentral is "Candidatus Lokiarchaeota archaeon (permafrost metagenome) tRNA-Ile". It matches the Rfam family "tRNA". Rfam says of the family: Transfer RNA (tRNA) molecules are approximately 80 nucleotides in length. Lineage: Archaea; Promethearchaeati; Promethearchaeota. The record is from RNAcentral.